GGAGUCAGCCAGACAAUCGCUGCUUAUCUCGCUUUGCGUUGAUAGGGGGAGGAAAGUCCGGGCUCCAUAGGGCAGGGUGCCAGAUAACGUCUGGGCGAUGUGAAUCGACGACUAGUGCAACAGAGAGCAAACCGCCGAUGGUCGGCUACGCCGAUACAGGUAAGGGUGAAAGGGUGCGGUAAGAGCGCACCGCGCGGCUGGCAACAGUUCGUGGCACGGUAAACUCCACCCGGAGCAAGGUCAAAUAGGGACUCAUUGGCGCGGCCCGCGUUGAGUCCGGGUAGACUGCUAAAGCCGUUUAGCGAUAAACGGAUUAGACGAAUGAUUGUCCUCGACAGAACCCGGCUUAUCGGCUGACUCCGAUA
Molecule: RNase P RNA, 365 nt
Filed under: Idiomarina xiamenensis 10-D-4
Lineage: Bacteria; Pseudomonadati; Pseudomonadota; Gammaproteobacteria; Alteromonadales; Idiomarinaceae
Description: Idiomarina sp. 10-D-4 Bacterial RNase P class A
Rfam family: Bacterial RNase P class A
About the family: Ribonuclease P (RNase P) is a ubiquitous endoribonuclease, found in archaea, bacteria and eukarya as well as chloroplasts and mitochondria. Its best characterised activity is the generation of mature 5'-ends of tRNAs by cleaving the 5'-leader elements of precursor-tRNAs.
Source: Rfam by way of RNAcentral